GUCAGAAUGCACCGCCCAAUUAUGGAAGAGGAAUACUGAUGCUGUUGGUGUUUCUUCAUGGGUGUUGGGAAGAACUAUUGAGCUGGACAGGCUACUUACUCUGGAUUCAAAGAGAGAGACAAGGUACAUGCAGAUGAUAGGGUAUGCUGAGGAAAAUAAUGUGGCUUUCUUGCGGACUGCUGCUGGUAUCUUCAUGGUCCAGCUUCACUCAUUGCAGUUCAAGAAACUUCUCGAAAACAACAACAGUGUUACCUGUUAUCCAUUAGAAAGUGUCUAUGCUGCAGAAACAAGCAUUGGUGGUGGACAUGAUGGAGCUGAUCAACACAUGCUAAUGUAAUGGUUGAGCAGGCAAGCUUAUCUUAUGAAUGUAUCUAGAGUCACGUUCCGGUGGCUGAGAUGCAGAAGUGGCUUGUUUACUGGGAUCGAGACAAGAUGCACCGACCACCGAGUGAGCUGUGGUGUGGACUUGUAGGAAUUAAUCGCUUAUUUUGCCCA
Lolium rigidum is the source of this 495-nucleotide long non-coding RNA. RefSeq lists it as uncharacterized. The record is from RefSeq and is a predicted model, not a curated record. NCBI's taxonomy places the organism in Eukaryota, Viridiplantae, Streptophyta, Magnoliopsida, Poales, Poaceae. The transcript is spliced from 3 exons.